CCUGCCCUAAAGACUUGGGAUACCACUUGGAAACAGGUGCUAAUACCGGAUAACAACAGAAGCUGCAUGGCUUUUGUUUGAAAGGUGGCUUUAAGCUGUCACUUUAGGAUGGGCCCGCGGUGCAUUAGCUAGUUGGUGGGGUAACGGCUCACCAAGGCAGUGAUGCAUAGCCGAGUUGAGAGACUGAUCGGCCACAUUGGGACUGAGACACGGCCCAAACUCCUACGGGAGGCAGCAGUAGGGAAUCUUCCACAAUGGACGCAAGUCUGAUGGAGCAACGCCGCGUGAGUGAAGAAGGUUUUCGGAUCGUAAAGCUCUGUUGUUGGUGAAGAAGGACGGCAGUAGUAACUGGCUGUCGUUUGACGGUAAUCAACCAGAAAGUCACGGCUAACUACGUGCCAGCAGCCGCGGUAAUACGUAGGUGGCAAGCGUUGUCCGGAUUUAUUGGGCGUAAAGCGAGCGCAGGCGGAAAGAUAAGUCUGAAGUGAAAGCCCCCGGCUUAACCGGGGAACUGCUUCGGAAACUGUCUUUCUUGAGUGCAGAAGAGGAGAGUGGAACUCCAUGUGUAGCGGUGGAAUGCGUAGAUAUAUGGAAGAACACCAGUGGCGAAGGCGGCUCUCUG
This 622-nucleotide ribosomal RNA is filed under the name uncultured bacterium. RNAcentral's name for it is "bacterial SSU rRNA". It matches the Rfam family "Bacterial small subunit ribosomal RNA", at positions 125 to 731 of the family's 1533-position model. The record is from RNAcentral.